GGCAGUGAGGCAGCCAGCGCAGGGGCUUCUGCUGAGGGCGCAGGCGGAGCUUGAGGAAACCGCAGAUAAGUUUUUUUCACUUUGAAAGAUAGAGAUUAAUACAACUACUUAAAAAAUAUAGUCAAUAGGUUACUAAGAUAUUGCUUAGCGUUAAGCUUUUAACGUAAUUUUAAUAGCUUAAGAUUUUAAGAGAAAAUAUGAAGACUUAGAAGAGUAGCAUGACGAAGGAAAAGAUAAAAGAUUUCUAAAACAUGACGGAGGUUGAGAUGAAGCUUCUUCAUGGAGUAAAAAAUGUAUUUAAAAGAAAAUUGAGAGAAAGGACUACAGAGCCCUGAAUUAAUACCAAUAGAAGGGCAAUGCUUUUAGAUUAAAAUGAAGGUGACUUAAACAGCUUAAAGUUUACUUUAAAAGUUGUAGGUGAUUAAAAUAAUUUGAAGGCGAUCUUUUAAAAAGAGAUUAAACCGAAGGUGAUUAAAAGACCUUGAAAUCCAUGACGCAGGGAGAAUUGCGUCAUUUAAAGCCUAGUUAACGCAUUUAAACGCAGACGAAAAUGGAAAGAUUAGUUGGGAGUGGUAGGAUGAAACGAUUUGGAGAAGAUAGAAGUUUGAAGUGGAAAACUGGAAGACAGAAGUACAGGAAGGCGGAGAAAAGAAUAGAGAAGAUAGGGAAAUUAGAAGAUAAAAACAUACUUUUAGAAGAAAAAAGAUAAAUUUAAACCUGAAAAGUAGGAAGCAGAAGAAAAAAGACAAGCUAGGAAACAAAAAACUAAGGGCAAAAUGUACAAACUUAGAAGAAAAUUGGAAGAUAGAAACAAGAUAGAAAAUGAAAAUAUUGUCAAGAGUUUCAGAUAGAAAAUGAAAAACAAGCUAAGACAAGUAUUGGAGAAGUAUAGAAGAUAGAAAAAUAUAAAGCCAAAAAUUGGAUAAAAUAGCACUGAAAAAGUGAGGAAAUUAUUGGUAACCAAUUUAUUUUAAAAGCCCAUCAAUUUAAUUUCUGGUGGUGCAGAAGUUAGAAGGUAAAGCUUGAGAAGAUGAGGGUGUUUACGUAGACCAGAACCAAUUUAGAAGAAUACUUGAAGCUAGAAGGGGAAGUUGGUUAAAAAUCACAUCAAAAAAGGACUGGUGUAAUUUAAAAAAAAACUAAGGCAGAAGGCUUUUGGAAGAGUUAGAAGAAUUUGGAAGGCCUUAAAUAUAGUAGCUUAGUUUGAAAAAUGUGAAGGACUUUCGUAACGGAAGUAAUUCAAGAUCAAGAGUAAUUACCAACUUAAUGUUUUUGCAUUGGACUUUGAGUUAAGAUUAUUUUUUAAAUCCUGAGGACUAGCAUUAAUUGACAGCUGACCCAGGUGCUACACAGAAGUGGAUUCAGUGAAUCUAGGAAGACAGCAGCAGACAGGAUUCCGGGAACCAGUGUUUGAUGAAGCUAGGACUGAGGAGCAAGCGAGCAAGCAGCAGUUCGUGGUGAAGAUAGGAAAAGAGUCCAGGAGCCAGUGCGAUUUGGUGAAGGAAGCUAGGAAGAAGGAAGGAGCGCUAACGAUUUGGUGGUGAAGCUAGGAAAAAGGAUUCCAGAAAGGAGCGAGUGCGAUUUGGUGAUGAAGCUAGCAGGCGGCUUGGCUUGGCAACCACACGGAGGAGGCGAGCAGGCGUUGUGCGUAGAUAGAGGAUCCUAGACCAGCAUGCCAGUGUGCCAAGGCCACAGGGAAAACGAGUGGUUGGUAAAAAUCCGUGAGGUCGGCAAUAUGUUGUUUUUCUGGAACUUAUGGUAACCUUUUAUUUAUUUUCUAAUAUAAUGGGGGAGUUUCGUACUGAGGUGUAAAGGGAUUUAUAUGGGGAACGUAGGCCGAUUUCCGGGUGUUGUAGGUUUCUCUUUUUCAGGCUUAUACUCAUGAAUCUUGUCUGAAGCUUUUGAGGGCAGACUGCCAAGUCCUGGAGAAAUAGUAGAUGGCAAGUUUGUGGGUUUUUUUUUUUUUUUUUUUUUUUUUUACGAAUUUGAGGAAAACCAAAUGAAUUUGAUAGCCAAAUUGAGACAAUUUCAGCAAAUCUGUAAGCAGUUUGUAUGUUUAGUUGGGGUAAAUGAAGUAUUUCAGUUUUGUGAAUAGAUGACCUGUUUUUACUUCCUCACCCUGAAUUCGUUUUGUAAAUGUAGAGUUUGGAUGUGUAACUGAGGCGGGGGGGAGUUUUCAGUAUUUUUUUUUUGUGGGGGUGGGGGCAAAAUAUGUUUUCAGUUCUUUUUCCCUUAGGUCUGUCUAGAAUCCUAAAGGCAAAUGACUCAAGGUGUAACAGAAAACAAGAAAAUCCAAUAUCAGGAUAAUCAGACCACCACAGGUUUACAGUUUAUAGAAACUAGAGCAGUUCUCACGUUGAGGUCUGUGGAAGAGAUGUCCAUUGGAGAAAUGGCUGGUAGUUACUCUUUUUUCCCCCCACCCCCUUAAUCAGACUUUAAAAGUGCUUAACCCCUUAAACUUGUUAUUUUUUACUUGAAGCAUUUUGGGAUGGUCUUAACAGGGAAGAGAGAGGGUGGGGGAGAAAAUGUUUUUUUCUAAGAUUUUCCACAGAUGCUAUAGUACUAUUGACAAACUGGGUUAGAGAAGGAGUGUACCGCUGUGCUGUUGGCACGAACACCUUCAGGGACUGGAGCUGCUUUUAUCCUUGGAAGAGUAUUUCCAGUUGAAGCUGAAAAGUACAGCACAGUGCAGCUUUGGUUCAUAUUCAGUCAUCUCAGGAGAACUUCAGAAGAGCUUGAGUAGGCCAAAUGUUGAAGUUAAGUUUUCCAAUAAUGUGACUUCUUAAAAGUUUUAUUAAAGGGGAGGGGCAAAUAUUGGCAAUUAGUUGGCAGUGGCCUGUUACGGUUGGGAUUGGUGGGGUGGGUUUAGGUAAUUGUUUAGUUUAUGAUUGCAGAUAAACUCAUGCCAGAGAACUUAAAGUCUUAGAAUGGAAAAAGUAAAGAAAUAUCAACUUCCAAGUUGGCAAGUAACUCCCAAUGAUUUAGUUUUUUUCCCCCCAGUUUGAAUUGGGAAGCUGGGGGAAGUUAAAUAUGAGCCACUGGGUGUACCAGUGCAUUAAUUUGGGCAAGGAAAGUGUCAUAAUUUGAUACUGUAUCUGUUUUCCUUCAAAGUAUAGAGCUUUUGGGGAAGGAAAGUAUUGAACUGGGGGUUGGUCUGGCCUACUGGGCUGACAUUAAUUACAAUUAUGGGAAAUGCAAAAGUUGUUUGGAUAUGGUAGUGUGUGGUUCUCUUUUGGAAUUUUUUUCAGGUGAUUUAAUAAUAAUUUAAAACUACUAUAGAAACUUCAGAGCAAAGGAAGUGGCUUAAUGAUCCUGAAGGGAUUUCUUCUGAUGGUAGCUUUUGUAUUAUCAAACAGGUAUCUCUUCGUUAUCAGAAGAGUUGCUUCAUUUCAUCUGGGAGCAGAAAACAGCAGGCAGCUGUUAACAGAUAAGUUUAACUUGCAUCUGCAGUAUUGCAUGUUAGGGAUAAGUGCUUAUUUUUAAGAGGUGUGGAGUUCUUAAAUAUCAACCAUGGCACUUUCUCCUGACCCCUUCCCUAGGGGAUUUCAGGAUUGAGAAAUUUUUCCAUCGAGCCUCUUUAAAAUUGUAGGACUUGUUCCUGUGGGCUUCAAUGAUGGGAUAGUACACUUCACUCAGAGGCAUUUGCAUCUUUAAAUAAUUUCUUAAAAGCCUCUAAAGUGAUCAGUGCCUUGAUGCCAACUAAGGAAAUUUGUUUAGCAUUGAAUCUCUGAAGGCUCUAUGAAAGGAAUAGCAUGAUGUGCUGUUAGAAUCAGAUGUUAUUGCUAAAAUUUACAUGUUGUGUUGUGAUGUAAAUUGUGUAGAAAACCAUUAAAUCAUUCAAAAUAAUAAACUAUUUUUAUUAGAGAAUGUAUACUUUUAGAAAGCUGUCUCCUUAUUUAAAUACAAUACUGUUUGUCUGUAGUUUAGUGUUGGGGCAAUCUUGGGGGGGAUUCUUCUCUAAUCUUUCAGAAACUUUGUCUGCGAACACUCUUUAAUGGACCAGAUCAGGAUUUGAGCGGAAGAACGAAUGUAACUUUAAGAGGCAUUUCAUCCUUCAUGAAGCUGUUCAGGAUUUUGAAUUGCAUAUGAGUGCUUGGCUCUUCCUUCUGUUCUCCUAGUGAGUGUAUGAGACCUUGCAGUGAGUUUAUCAGCAUACUCAAAAUUUUUUUCCUGGAAUUUGGAGGGAUGGGAGGAGGGGGUGGGGCUUACUUGUUGUAGCUUUUUUUUUUUUUACAGACUUCACAGAGAAUGCAGUUGUCUUGACUUCAGGUCUGUCUGUUCUGUUGGCAAGUAAAUGCAGUACUGUUCUGAUCCCGCUGCUAUUAGAAUGCAUUGUGAAACGACUGGAGUAUGAUUAAAAGUUGUGUUCCCCAAUGCUUGGAGUAGUGAUUGUUGAAGGAAAAAAUCCAGCUGAGUGAUAAAGGCUGAGUGUUGAGGAAAUUUCUGCAGUUUUAAGCAGUCGUAUUUGUGAUUGAAGCUGAGUACAUUUUGCUGGUGUAUUUUUAGGUAAAAUGCUUUUUGUUCAUUUCUGGUGCUGGGAGGGGACUGAAGCCUUUAGUCUUUUCCAGAUGCAACCUUAAAAUCAGUGACAAGAAACAAAUUCCAAACAAGCAACAGUCUUCAAGAAAUUAAACUGGCAAGUGGAAAUGUUUAAACAGUUCAGUGAUCUUUAGUGCAUUGUUUUUGUGUGGGUUUCUCUCUCCCCUCCCUUGGUCUUAAUUCUUACAUGCAGGAACACUCAGCAGACACACGUAUGCGAAGGGCCAGAGAAGCCAGACCCAGUAAGAAAAAAUAGCCUAUUUACUUUAAAUAAACCAAACAUUCCAUUUUAAAUGUGGGGAUUGGGAACCACUAGUUCUUUCAGAUGGUAUUCUUCAGACUAUAGAAGGAGCUUCCAGUUGAAUUCACCAGUGGACAAAAUGAGGAAAACAGGUGAACAAGCUUUUUCUGUAUUUACAUACAAAGUCAGAUCAGUUAUGGGACAAUAGUAUGAA
This 4994-nucleotide long non-coding RNA is filed under the name Pan troglodytes (chimpanzee). RNAcentral describes it as "long non-coding RNA NONPTRT002696". The record is from RNAcentral. Lineage: Eukaryota; Metazoa; Chordata; Mammalia; Primates; Hominidae.